AGAAACUAACAAGGAUUCCCCUAGUAACGGCGAGUGAAGCGGGAAGAGCUCAAAUUUGAAAUCUGGUGGACUCAGUCCAUCCGAGUUGUAAUCUAUAGAAACGUUUUCCGCGUCGGCCCAUGUACAAGUCCCUUGGAACAGGGCGUCAUAGAGGGUGAGAAUCCCGUCCUUGACAUGGACCACCGGUGCUAUGUGAUACGUUCUCAACGAGUCGAGUUGUUUGGGAAUGCAGCUCAAAAUGGGUGGUAAAUUCCAUCUAAAGCUAAAUAUUGGCGAGAGACCGAUAGCGAACAAGUACCGUGAGGGAAAGAUGAAAAGCACUUUGGAAAGAGAGUUAAACAGUAUGUGAAAUUGUUGAAAGGGAAACGAUUGAAGUCAGUCAUGUCCUUGGGAUUCAGCCUGUUCUGCAGGUGUACUUCCCUUGGAUGGGGUCAACAUCAGUUUUGACCGCUGGAUAAAGGUUUGAGCAAUGUAGCACUCUCGGGUGAACUUAUAGGCUCUUGUCGCA
This 508-nucleotide ribosomal RNA is filed under the name Piskurozyma fildesensis. Its description in RNAcentral is "partial large subunit ribosomal RNA". It matches the Rfam family "Eukaryotic large subunit ribosomal RNA", at positions 60 to 572 of the family's 3401-position model. The record is from RNAcentral. Lineage: Eukaryota; Fungi; Basidiomycota; Tremellomycetes; Filobasidiales; Piskurozymaceae.